Non-coding RNA from Ictidomys tridecemlineatus (thirteen-lined ground squirrel), 7588 nucleotides. The record is from RefSeq and is a predicted model, not a curated record. NCBI's taxonomy places the organism in Eukaryota, Metazoa, Chordata, Mammalia, Rodentia, Sciuridae.
AACCAAAAAAACAAAACAAACGAACAAAACAAAACUAGACUCUUGUGCACUGUUGGUGGGAAUGUAAAGUGACUCCUGUGGACACAGUUUGCUACUACCUCAGAAAAUGAACAAGGAUCAUGUGACCCAACAAUGCUGCUUCUGGGUAGAUUCCUAAAAGAACUGACUCCCUACCCAGGUUCUUGUCAGCACAACUCACAGCUCACAGGUGAAAGCAAAACAAGUGCCCAGGAUAGAACUGUAAGCGCGUAUCAUGUGUGAUGCACAGUGUGGGUGCACACAUGUGUCAGGACAGGGUGGAACAGCACUCGGCUUGAGGAAGGAACAACUUUCCCACACGCUACAGCAUGAAUGGAACUUGAGAACACUGGGCCCAGUGAAACCCGACAGUCACAAAAAACCUGCUUAUGACACCGUGUACAUCCCGCAGCCCGGCAGCUCUCUGUCCAUGGUCUUCCAGGUCAGAGCCCUAUGGCCUGCUGCGGCUCUCACGGUCACAACAUCCCCAUGGUCACAACAUCCCCAUGGUCACAACAUCCCCAUGGUCACAACAUCCACAGCUCUCCAAAAAGUUCCAUUGGGUUCAGUGAAAAGCAAAAUGCGGAAAGAAUGUGAUUCAAGCAUGAAGAAUAAAAACCACCAGCCUCCCAUUUCCAACAAAAGACCCCCGUGGCAGACUGCCGCUGAGACGUGCUGGGCUGGGGUUUAUAUAGCACUUGGGUUAACGCUAUGGGUCCUCAUUUAUGCUAAUCGGGGUUUGAAAAAGAGCCAACGCUAUUGGUCCAAAUGUAGGCUAAUUAGGGUUUGGAAAAGUACUGAGGAUUGCUUCACCCUUGAGUGGGCCCGUCCAUUCUGGUCUGUCCCCACGUCUGUUUUCCCACCUCCCGCCUGCAAUCCCAGCUUCUCUAGAGGUUGAAGUUGGGAGGGGUGAAUGCUCAGCGUGGGCGGUUCUGAGCCGCAGUGCUGUGUGGAGCAGGGGUUCGCACCAGACUGGGACAGGCCACCACAGGGUGACAGGUCUUUGCUCCCUGGCUUGCAGCCUCAGCCCCCCACCGGCAUGGCAGGUUCCACACGCUGGAGCUCCGCUGCACGGCUUGGGGACAAGAGCUUGACUUCAGUUGGAUGUGACCAUUGAACUACAUUAUUACCAUUUAAUGCCACUGAACAAUAUGCUUUAAAAUAACCAAACAGAAAACUAUGCUAUGUGUAUCUUACUGCAAUACAAGAUAGCAAACUUAAAAAAAAUAAAAACAACCAAACUUGUGCACAGUCAGGCAAUGUACCCUUUCAACUUUUGCCUUGGAGAGGUGGUUCCUGUUUCUCACCUUUUACGUUUUUAAAAUCGGAGCUAGCCCUAGCCCUGAGACAUGCUUUGGCCAUUAGAAUAGGGUACAAGUGACAGUGUGCCCAUUCUGGACUGGGACUUCCCGCUCUUGCUCUCCUGGACCUCUGCCUUGGUGUGAGAAUGAGACCAGGCUGGCUUGCUGGAGAAUGGGACCUCAGGGAUAAGAGCCAAAGGGAGACCUGCAGAGAGCCAAAUGACACCCGCUGGUCCCCAGCCACAGUGGUCAGAGCCUUCCAUGCCCUCAGCUGUUCUCAGACCCAAAUGAGCCCAUCCAAGGCCAGAGCCAUCCAUUCAGCGACAGACUGGAGAACAAGGACAAGUGGCUGUUGUUUGGGGAUGGUUUGUUGCACAGUUUCUGUGACAGAGAUAGUUGAUGUCACCAGGUAUGGUAUAGCAGCCCUCAGACCCUGAAGACAUUCGGUUCCUACCUCCCCAACACCAACGGCAUGAGUGUCCUUCAGAAACCGAAGCCCUUCAUAACCACAUAUGGCCCAAGAACCAUGGGAGAAGCCAGGGGACAGGCCAAGGGACAGAGCAGCUGCAGGCCCACACACUGCCUCAGUCCAAGGCAUGGACCACGGACUACAGAACCUGUGUGAGCUGCAGGGUGACUCGGCUUUGCUUCCCUCCAUAAGACCCAGGUGACACGCUCCCCAGCUGCCAAGCUGCACAGCGGCAGAGAAGCGGGGGGUGCAGUGGAGUGGCUGCCAGGGUGGGCCAGAGGACCAGCAGCAAGUGCAGCAGGAGCCUGGUGGAGGUGCCCUUGCCUGGGCACUGUGCCCACGCCUGCUGCAGAAGCUGCUCCUGGCAGCCCCUGGGACCUCACCCUGCCACUUCCGGACCUGCCAGGAGACAAUGGAAAUGGGGCAGACUUGAAUGAAGGUUGGGACUCAGCAUUGGCCAAUAGCUUAAUAUGUUUCUAAACCCUAAUUAGCAUAAAUUUGGACCAAUAAGGUUAGCAGUUUCCAAACCCUAAUUAGCAUGUUUGGACUAAUAGCAGUGAUCCACGUGCUACAUAAACCCCUAAGCACUCGAGGGAGAAAACCUGCUAUUUGGUUCCCUUGUGGACUGUAAGAGUUUUGUUCCUAUCUUUCAAUAAACCCCGCUCUUACGCUCAGUUGGUUUGUGGAUUGGUUUGAAUCCACAAGAUAAGAAGCCAGAAAGAAGAAGGUGAGGUCGAGUGCCCGGGGUCUGCCAUAGCCCUGGGAGCAUGACCCAUGAGGAAGAACUACCACUUUUCUUGGGUGAAGAAGCCUGCAAUCUUCUGUAAUCCCCAUUUCCAGAGGAGGACAAGCUCCAGGGUGUUUGCCAGCAGAGUGGGGAACCGUUUUAUCUCUGAACUGUGCUUUAACCAUCCCUGGAGGGAAGACUGCAGCUCUGAGAGGCCAAGAAGAAUAUGCAUUAACAGGCCGGCGAGCGGGCUCCUCCAGUGCUCAGCAAUCAUUCCUGUAAACGCAGCCCCUGGGAAAACCAGGGCAGGCGGCAGGGCUCUGGAUGGCUGAGCCUGGGGAGGUUCCCAGGGGCGCUGUGCUGGGGAGAGAGCGGAAGCUCCCUAUCAAUUCUCUGCACUUUGUAAUAUCCUUUAUGACCAAGCAGUGAUUGUGAGCUUUCCUGCCUGAGUUCUGUGAGAAGUCUGAGCCUGUGAAGGAGGGGAGGGUGUCAUGGGAACUCUGAUUUAUAACUGGUGGCUCAGAGGCACAGGCAGAAAUCACCCUGGCUUGGGAGUGACGUCUCAAGGUGGGGCAGUGCUGGGACUGAGCCCCUAACCUGUGGGAUCUGACUCUUCAGCCCACUUGUCAGCAGAGACACAGACUGCCCCGGAGAAGAGCUCCGAGCUCGACUGCCGAGGCAGCACACAUUUUAUAGCAAGAACCGAAGGCUCAGCAGGAGAGAGAGCUAGCCACGGGGAACCCAGCACCCGUGCACAUUUUAUAUUUGAGAAGAAAAUGCAAAAGAACUAAUUAAUACUACAUAAUUAUGUUGAGGAGACAUGAAUAGGGUGAGUUCUUUAACUCUGGAAAAUGAAUUCUGAUUACUAAUCUCUUCAAUAGUCCUCUUGUAAUUCUGUAGAGUGAGGCUCUUCUGCAUGAUGAUUCUGUGUCCCUGUGAGGUCACAGAAUCCCAAGAUUAGAGCUGAAAGGGUCCUGACAGAUUACCAGACAAACCCCUCUGUCCCACAGAUGAGGAAACAAGGGUUCACAGAGGCCCUCUCCAAAAUUCAUUUAAUGUAAGGUACAAAGUGUUUAUUUGUUAGUCCCACAAGUAUUUAUCACAUGCCGACUGUAUGUAUUGAUAACCUCCUUUUGGCCAGGUACUCCAAAACGCACAAGUGAUGGAUAAUAGAAAUCAGACUGAAUAGGAGAGAGCUCAUGUAAGCAUAUAACUACAGCACAGUAAACUGUGUUUCGUGAACUGUGAGAAAUGGAGGGACCCACUGCUCCUGGCCUAAGAAAUAGCCUAGAACAGCAUUUCCUGACGUUGGCUCCAUGAAAUGCAAUGAUCUACACCAUUAGGGGUCUCCAGGGAGAAUGCUCUUGGCAAUAUAAGGUUAAAAUGCAGAAUGACUUACUUCUUGAAGACUCACAGUGCUCCUCACUGUGCUCCAGAGGUUCUGUGGUUAAAAAGUGCUUCGUGAAUUUAUCUGAGCUUGGAAAUGUCCCCGGCCGGACCUUCUUCUUUUGUUUUUCUUCUCCCUCGCCCUCUCCUCCUUUUCUGGUGGAGUGUUGCUGGUAUCUCACAGAAUAUUCGUGUUCUACAGGACUCUUGGGCAACUCUGAGGGAUGCGUGGACCAUCUCCCCGUCGGUGGCUGGGCUCCAUUAGCUGAGCGAGCAGUGUCUCAGGAGUCGGCUCAUGGGGUUUACUGCAGGUCCAAACCACGAUGGGAGGGAACAUCAUGGUGAAUUAAUGACAUCUCUUCUUUACACAUGUAGAGUAUCAAAGCUAUCAUGAAUAUAAAUCUGGGAAAAUUUAUUAUUCACCAGAAGUAAUUUGAGAUGUCAGAUAACAAACAAUUGCUUCCUGUUUUGCUCCAAUUGAUCUGCUUGCCUGGGGGAAGAAAUAAUCCAGGAUAAGGUUUCAGAGCAAACACAUGUUUGGGGAAAUUCUAUUUGCUGCCAAGAAAUGUGGCUAAGCCCCUGAGUGUAAAAGUCCUCCAUUUCAGUGAAAGUUAGAGACGGCAGUGCUGCUGUCUCCAGACACCCUGUCAACAUCAGAGCUACCCAUCAUCCCUGGGGCAGUCAAUCACCCAUCUUGUUUUUUUUUUUUUUUCCUGAAAAUUUCAUUGAGUUCAGAAUGACUGCAAUGCAUCUUUUCAUACUGUUUAACUGAAUUUAUUAUCUGCUACUGGCACGUGUCCUGGUAUAUUCAAUAUAUAAGUGAUACGUUGUAUAUACAUUUCUGCAGCCUUCCGAAAGUGCUGCAUUGCAGCAGUGAUGUUCCUGAGAUGGUGCUGGGGGAGCUGAUGGAUUGCCAGCCUGUGCAGCUCUGGAAAUCAAGCCCUUGGCUUUACUCCUACACGGCCCCACGCGGCUGCAGCUUAUUUUCUCAUCUCUGGGGUCUUUGCCAUCAGUUGUCGAUGGCCAGUAAAACCUGUUAGUCGGUAUGGAUAUCCCACACAGAGGUCUGGAAGAAAACCCUGGUGUGUUCAGAUCCCAGCUUUGCUGUAGCUGUCUCCAGAAAAGGUCCCUGUUCCCCAGGACUGGGCCCAGGCCCUGCUAUCUGCCCCCUCUCCCUGCCUCCCGGCUUCCCCGUCUGGCCCUGGCGGCUCAUCUUGUGGUCUCCUAGAGCCCCCAGCUCUUUCUCUGACCUCUCUUAGUAGAAGUCUCCACAUCAACUUUGCUGGUCCUGAGUGUUCUUCUUGGUGAUGGCACUUGCCUUGUCAUACUGCCUGUGUCCCCCUCAAUGGGUGAUGCGUUAGGUGAGAAGGGGGGCCAUGAUGCUCCUCUUGUUCAUCGUGGGACCCCAAUAGCCAACACAGAGCCCGAAUCCCAGACACAGACACCAUGAAGCGCUCUCCCUCCCCACAAGUCACGUGCCUGGACUUCUUCCAACCCAGGUCUACGUUCUGCUCCUCCAACAAGCUUCUGGAAUCUUCUUAGCACCCAGGGCCUCAGGUCCCCAGGACACAGGCGCAAGUGUGCUAGCCAGGCCAACGAUCCUGGGAUCCCAGCUUUUCUGUUUGAACUUACUGUGUUGUCCCCCAACAAACCCAGAGUGAGUGAGAGGGUGUGGGCUCAGCAACCCUCGUCCCUGACUCCCUUUAUUCAUCUGCCAGCUGUUAGUUCAAGUCCUCUUCCUUCACCUCUUUAUAACUUUAUCUUCUGCAUAAUAGCUUUAUGUCUUUUUGAGGUUAUGGGUUGCCUUGUGGUUUUGUCUUCAGUUUAUUUCUUUAAGCGUAACUUACAUGUUCUAGACCACCUUGUGAUCCUAAGGAGUGUCUUAUAAGCCCUCUGGAGAUGGGCUCAAGGCUCAGAUCAAAAGCACUAGGACUGUCAGCAUUGAUUUAUGUAGAAGAUGUCCUAUAUUCUCAACUUUUAAAAUGUUUUAUUUUUAAUUGACUAAUAAUUAUAAAUACUUGUGGGCUACCAUGUGAUUUUUGAUACAUUGUAUGGUGGUCAGAUCAGAAUAAUUAACAUAUUCAUUACCUCAAAGGUUGGUCAUUUCUCUGUGGUAAAACUUUCAAGGUUCUUCUAUUUCAGAAUAUACAGUAAUUAUUAUUGCCUCUAUUCACUCUCCUGUGCAUAGAACACCAAAAUUCACUCCUCCUGCCUCCCUGAGACUCUGGAUCAACCCCUCUGCCUCCCCUCUUCCCACGCCCUUAGGCCCUGGUGACCAGGCUUCUGCUGUCUACUUCUGUGGACUCCACAUACAAGGGAGGUACUGUUCAGCCACUAGAAGAGAUGAGAUCAGUCAUUGGUGAUGACAUGGGCAGACCUGGCUGGUGUUGUAUUCAAUGAAAUACAGGCACAGAAAGAAACAACGUUAGGUCUUCCUUACACUCCCAGUUCUCGAUCUGUUUCUGAAUCACCCUUGGAUAGGGAGCCACCGUAAUGACAGCACUAUAAAUGUUACGGCCACCACAGCUUCUGAUGACAACCUGAGUAUUCCCGAGUUUGCUUCCUGCCAAGCUCUCUGCUGAACCCUCUCCCUGCACUGUCUCAUUUAGACUUCAUACUAAAUAAACUUACUCAGGUAAGUAGUGUCCUCCUUCACAGGCAAGGAAACAGAGGUUAAGUGACGUGCACAAGAUCACGGAUUUGGCAGGCGGCAAACGCAGGUUUGUAUUUGGGUAGUUGAUGUUAUGGCUGAUCCUUUUAAUUACUGGCUUUAUUUCAGGAGAGGCUGUGCUGGAAACCGCCCACGUCCCAUCAUGGGGGAAUGUCCUGGACCAUCCGUGUGCCCGGACCCACCUCCAAAGAGCUAUCAGUGUCCUUUCUGCAGAGCAGGGAGUGGCCCUCGGUGACGGGGGACAGACUCUGUUUCCAUGCUGUACCUGUUCCCACGUCAGAUACCAAACGAUCCCUCUGUUCCUGGCUGCUCUCUCCUCUCAGUGGCAGACCAAGAAAUGUUGGGGCCACCUCUUUCUCCCUGACCCUGCACAUUUAAUCCAAUGGGAAGUCCAUUUCAAAACCCAGAAUUGGACCACUUCAUCCUGGGCCUUGGGGCCUUUAGCCUGGAGUGUGGAGCUGGCCUGCAUGGAUCCAGCCCUCCGCUCCCCUCUCCCGCCCUCCUUAGGCCUCUUGUGACCCCACAGGGCUUUUUAUCGACCCAGCAGCAGUCUUUAUAGUGGGAAUGGGUCACUCCAUCUCCAAACCUAGCCUGCAAGGCCCUUCCUGGCCGCCCGCGCCGCCCGCUCCCUGCUCCCACCUUCCUGUGUCCUUUCUCUGCCCCGAGUGGCUCUUCCCUGCCCUCAGCUGGGUCACGCUGCUCAACCUGAGGACCUGCACUGUGGCACGGCUGUCGCCCUGAUCCGCUCCCCGCAAGUCUUUCUCCAGGAAUCUCCACGCUGCACUCUUACCCCAGCACAGCACCCGCAGUGUUGCAGAGCAGGAGUUCAGGGCGGACCGUGUUUCCGACUUGAAGAUCAUGCUGUCUUCAGGAUUCAAAGAUGUUCCAGAUCCUCUGGUCUGAAGAGCCAUGGGCUGGUCCGGCCUUCCCCUGGCUUUAACCCGACCCCUGUUGUCACUUGUGCACCUGACUCUUUGUCACGGGAGUGAAGGUGCAGGCUUGGCUGCCGUCACUAC